UGUGUGGAGGGAAGGGUUAGGUGUGUGUCUUGUAGGGAGGGAAGGGUUAGGUGUGUGUCUUGUAUGGAGGGAAAGAUUAGGUGUGUGUCUUGUAGGGAGGGAAGGGUUAGGUGUGUGUCUUGUAGGGAGGGAAGGGUUAGGUGU
Molecule: long non-coding RNA, 144 nt
Organism: Homarus americanus (American lobster)
Lineage: Eukaryota; Metazoa; Arthropoda; Malacostraca; Decapoda; Nephropidae
Exons: 3
Source: RefSeq, a predicted model, not a curated record